Molecule: ribosomal RNA, 257 nt
Filed under: uncultured bacterium
Lineage: Bacteria
Description: partial 16S ribosomal RNA
Rfam family: Bacterial small subunit ribosomal RNA
Source: RNAcentral
UACAGAGACCUCAAGCGUUAUCCGGAAUCAUUGGGCGUAAAGCGUACCGAUAGGUGGUUAUACAAGUCAGAAGUGAAAUCUCCGAGCUCAACUCGGAAUCUGUCUUUUGAAACUGUAUGACUAGAGGGGCAAAGAGGAAGCUGGAACGAACGGUGUAGUAGUAAAAUGCGUUGAUAUCGUUCGGAACACCAAUAGCGUAGGCAGGCUUCUGGGUGCCACCUGACACUGCUAGGACGAAAGCGUGGGGAGCGAAUGGG